Molecule: ribosomal RNA, 503 nt
Filed under: uncultured bacterium
Lineage: Bacteria
Description: bacterial SSU rRNA
Rfam family: Bacterial small subunit ribosomal RNA
Source: RNAcentral
CUGGCUCAGGACGAACGCUGGCGGCGUGCUUAACACAUGCAAGUCGAACGGGGAUUAGUUGAUAGAGAGCUCGGCAGGAAAUUGAUAAUCGAGUGGCGGACGGGUGAGUAACGCGUGAGCAACCUGUCCCAGACAGGGGGAUAACACUUGGAAACAGGUGCUAAUACCGCAUAAGACCACGGGAUCACAUGGUUCUGGGGUAAAAGGAGCAAUCCGGUUUGGGGUGGGCUCGCGUCCGAUUAGCCAGUUGGCGGGGUAACGGCCCACCAAAGCGACGAUCGGUAGCCGACCUGAGAGGGUGAACGGCCACAUUGGAACUGAGAGACGGUCCAAACUCCUACGGGAGGCAGCAGUGGGGAAUAUUGGGCAAUGGGCGAAAGCCCUGACCCAGCAACGCCGCGUGAGUGAAGAAGGCCUUCGGGUUGUAAAGCUCUGUUAUAGUUGACGAAGGAAGUGACGGUAGGCUAUAAGGAAGCCCCGGCUAACUACGUGCCAGCCGCCGC